ACUGAAAUCUCUGCAGCUGCUGACGGACACCAGGAUUCUCACUGUGGACCUUUUAUUUCUGCUCGACCUUUUCUUUAUACAUUCAGUGAGAUUUUAUAAACCCUCUGGAUUGUUCAUCUCUCUUCUCACAGAUGGAAAUACAUACUCCAGCCACUGUAUUUAAAUUGAUGAUCCAGUCGGAGCUGUAAAGUGUCAUUCUGAUGAAUCAAAUUUGAUCAAACAUGAGAUUCAGAUGGAGCAGAGAAAGAAAAUCACACAUCCAGAAAACUGCUGGAGCCUCAGAAAUCACAGAGCAGCAGAAAACAAGAAGACAGAGAGAAAAAUGGAGACACAAACCAGUGGAUCACAAGAGGAAAGAGGACAGAGACGUGAGAGAUGCAGCAGUAUGGAGAGAGUAAGGCCAAACUUGUCAUGUGAUCCAGACGAGCCUGUAAAGAUUGAUUCUGAUGUCAAAAGUGAGGAGAGACUCUCUCAUCAAAACCUUCAUCACUGACGUCCAUCAGCAAACGCUGAAGUCCUGAACAUCACCACCAUCAUCAUCUUCAUCAUCACCAUCUUCAUCAUCAUCAUCACCACCGUCUUCAUCAUCAUCACCACCAUCACAAUCAUCACCACCAUCACAUCACAAUCAUCACCAUCAUCAUCACCAUCACCAUCACCACCGUCAUCACAAUCACCACCAUCAUCUUCAUCAUCAUCGGUCUGCUCUCUCCUGUCUUCUGGAAUCUUCUACAGACUCAUCUGAGCUCAAACACUCUCAUCAAGAGCUUCUUUCUCAGGAGGUUUACACAACACCGUUUUCAACUAAAACUUUUUAUUCAUUUUAGCUGUUCAUUUACACGACAACAGCGUUUUGGUGGCCUGAAAACGCAAACCUUUGAAAACGGGUUUCAAAAUGCAAGUUUUUGAAAACGAUACCGUUAUCAUCUCCGUGUAAACUACAAAAACACGGAUCUGUGAAAACGGUGAUGUCAUGCACAUGCGUAUUACAUGUUUAAUCUAUCCACAUUAUUUUUCAACCCCGAAAUACGGUGUUUUCUGUGAAUGUUUGAGACUUCUGAUUUAUUCGCCGCUGCAGGGAAAUAAUGAGAAGAAUUUGAAGGUGCAGAAAACUGUAAAAAUAAGCUGGAUAGACGUGUGUGUUUGGUGUGAGUGCUCUGUAAGAGAAUGUGUUUGCGCAGGUGCGUAAUCUUCCAUCACCAUCUACUGGUCUGGCCUGUGUAAUACAGCAUUUUUAGUCAUUUUUGUGGAUCCAUGUGAACGGAUUGAUAACGUUGUCAUCUGUACAAAGAAAAACUUUUCCGUUUUUAGUACUUCGUUGUACCCUCAGUCUGAACUCUCAUUGUUCUCCAUCUACUGUAAAUAUUUCCCUGUCUCUGAUGAUGGUGAUUGAUGAUGUACUGGAUAUAAGACAGAGAGAAAGACUCUCAGACGUUCAGACUCUCACUCACUCCUACAAACAGCUCAGUGUGUUCAGUUCACUGGAGCAGCAGGAGUUUGAUCGUGUGAAACUGAAGGAACAACACCAGGAGAACAAGCAAACUCCUCACAGAAGUUUAAAUAAAUGUCUUUUAAGAGCCUCUGAAAAACAUCAAAACUCCUAUUUAUGAUAUAAUAGUGUGUUUAAUCAACAUCGAUAUAUCAAUAAACCAAAUCCAGAUUUAUGAUUGUGAAGGAAUUCAUACAUUUCUGAAAUAAAGUGCAGUAUAGAGUCAGAUCAGAGCUCCUGUAAUACAGUGAAGUGUCUCCCUCUACUGGUGAUCAUCAGAGUUAAAGAUCUACACUGAUAUUUCACACUAACAUGAAAACACACACAGUGUUUCUUAGAAAUCAUUAAACAGGGACAGUUCAUUAGGAAGCAGAACUAAACACAAAGAUGUCAGAUUUCAGUCCAACAGUUCACUAAAUAUAGAUCUGUUUUCUCAAAUGUGGUGAAUUGAGUGUUUGUGUGUGUUGGUGGAGCUCAUGGUUUGAUGAUCUGACAGAAUCAUGUUUAUUCUCAGAUUGAUUCAUUCUUCAUCAUCACACUAAACCACACAGAAGAUCUGUUUCUGAAGAUCACUUUCUUUAAAACUACAAACACUAAAUGAAGUGAAUAAUUCAUGUUCUUACCAGAGAUUUCUGGAUUCGUCUGAUGAUGAUGAUGAUGAUGAUGUUUCAUAUCAAAUCUCCAUAAUCUUCAAAACUGAAGAAUAUUCAUAAAAUCAUGGAUUAGUGAUGAAUGCUUUUUACACUGAGUCUUACAUAAUACAUUUCCAUAAUAAUCAAUUUUAAAAGAUGUGUUAGAAAGGAUGAAAUAUACAGUAUAGUUUCACAUUCAGCUUCAGUUUAAAUAAUAUUUCACUCAUUAUCUGCUGUGAGAAUGAGGUAAAUCACCUUGUGAUGAUGAUGAUGAACUUUCCUCUGAUUGUUUAUGAGUCUCAAACAUCAUUUCCCUGUGAGAGAUGAAUUGUUUCGUGUUUCAGAUCUGGAUCUACAGGUUUGUUUCAGCGUCUCUUCAUGAUAAACUCCAGCAGCUGCACAGUUAAACAUCUCUCAUUAAACACCUGAUCUCCAUCAGCAGCUCAUUAGUGCCAUUAAAAUACAUUUUUAAAUCUUGUUUUGAUGUAUUUUUUGAGGCUCUUUUAAAAGAACUUUAUUUGAUGAUGAUGUUUUAUAUCAAGUAAAUGU
Ctenopharyngodon idella (grass carp) is the source of this 2670-nucleotide long non-coding RNA. RefSeq lists it as uncharacterized. The record is from RefSeq and is a predicted model, not a curated record. NCBI's taxonomy places the organism in Eukaryota, Metazoa, Chordata, Actinopteri, Cypriniformes, Xenocyprididae. The transcript has 4 exons.